This 879-nucleotide ribosomal RNA is filed under the name uncultured bacterium. Its description in RNAcentral is "bacterial SSU rRNA". It matches the Rfam family "Bacterial small subunit ribosomal RNA", at positions 21 to 897 of the family's 1533-position model. The record is from RNAcentral.
GGCUCAGGAUGAACGCUAGCGGGAGGCUUAACACAUGCAAGUCGAGGGGCAGCACGAUGUAGCAAUACGUUGGUGGCGACCGGCGCACGGGUGAGUAACGCGUAUGUAACCUACCCUGUACAGGGGGAUAACCCGGAGAAAUUCGGACUAAUACCCCAUAAAGAUAUCGGAAGGCAUCUUUUGAUAUUUAAAGCUUCGGUGGUACGGGAUGGGCAUGCGUAACAUUAGCUAGUUGGAGGGGUAACGGCCCACCAAGGCGAUGAUGUUUAGGGGUCCUGAGAGGGUGAUCCCCCACACUGGUACUGAGACACGGACCAGACUCCUACGGGAGGCAGCAGUGAGGAAUAUUGGUCAAUGGGCGAAAGCCUGAACCAGCCAUCCCGCGUGCAGGAAGACGGCCCUAUGGGUUGUAAACUGCUUUUCCAGGGGGCGAAUAGUCACGACGAGUCGUGGUAUGACUGUACCCUGGGAAUAAGCAUCGGCUAACUCCGUGCCAGCAGCCGCGGUAAUACGGAGGAUGCGAGCGUUAUCCGGAUUUAUUGGGUUUAAAGGGUGCGUAGGCGGAGACAUAAGUCAGUGGUGAAAACCUGCAGCUUAACUGUAGAAUUGCCGUUGAUACUGUGUUUCUUGAGUAUGGUCAAGGCAGGCGGAAUGUGUAAUGUAGCGGUGAAAUGCUUAGAUAUUACACAGAACACCGAUUGCGAAGGCAGCUUGCUGGGCCAUUACUGACGCUGAUGCACGAAAGCGUGGGGAUCGAACAGGAUUAGAUACCCUGGUAGUCCACGCCGUAAACGAUGAUCACUCGCUGUUGGCGAUACACAGUCAGCGGCUAGCAAAAGCAUUAAGUGAUCCACCUGGGGAGUACGGCCGCAAGGCUGA